AGCAGCGAUGAUGUUUUUUCUCACGAUGGUCUUCAUAACUUUUGUGAUGAGAUUGCCUUAAGGCGUUGCUGACAGCUGCUCGGUG
Molecule: small nucleolar RNA, 85 nt
Organism: Leucoraja erinaceus (little skate)
Lineage: Eukaryota; Metazoa; Chordata; Chondrichthyes; Rajiformes; Rajidae
Product: small nucleolar RNA SNORD35
Exons: 1
Source: RefSeq, a predicted model, not a curated record